Poecile atricapillus (Black-capped chickadee) is the source of this 415-nucleotide long non-coding RNA. RefSeq lists it as uncharacterized. The record is from RefSeq and is a predicted model, not a curated record. The transcript has 3 exons. Lineage: Eukaryota; Metazoa; Chordata; Aves; Passeriformes; Paridae.
CCACCAAAGGUUGGAGGGACAACGAGGGUUUGUAGGGGACAUCAAGAGCUGGAGGGACAAUCAGGGUUGGAGAUGCCACCAAGGGCUUGAAGGGGACAAUCAGGGUUUGGAGGUGUCACCAAGGCCUUGAGAAGCCACCACAGUCACGGUGAUGCCACCACAGCCCUGGAGGUGCCACCACCGCCAGGACUUAAUUCCCAAUCCACGGCACCCCCAUCACCACACCCGCACUGUGUCCCCACAAUGUCCCCAUGGUGUCCCCUCAGUGUCCCCUCAGUGUCCCCUCGUUGUCCCCUGGUGUCCCCAGGCAUCUCCCUGGAGCGGGUGUUCGAGUACAGCGAGUACUGGGAGGUGUCUCCAUGGUGUCCCCACGAUGUCCCCUCGGUGUCCCUGUCCCCUCAGUGUCCCCUCAGUG